Molecule: ribosomal RNA, 496 nt
Filed under: uncultured bacterium
Lineage: Bacteria
Description: partial 16S ribosomal RNA
Rfam family: Bacterial small subunit ribosomal RNA
Source: RNAcentral
GAUGAACGCUGGCGGCGUGCCUAAUACAUGCAAGUCGAGCGAACGGACGAGAAGCUUGCUUCUCUGAUGUUAGCGGCGGACGGGUGAGUAACACGUGGAUAACCUACCUAUAAGACUGGGAUAACUUCGGGAAACCGGAGCUAAUACCGGAUGAUAUUUUGAACCGCAUGGUUCAAAAGUGAAAGACGGUCUGCUGUCACUUAUAGAUGGAUCCGCGCUGCAUUAGCUAGUUGGUAAGGUAACGGCUUACCAAGGCAACGAUGCAUAGCCGACCUGAGAGGGUGAUCGGCCACACUGGAACUGAGACACGGUCCAGACUCCUACGGGAGGCAGCAGUAGGGAAUCUUCCGCAAUGGGCGAAAGCCUGACGGAGCAACGCCGCGUGAGUGAUGAAGGUCUUCGGAUCGUAAAACUCUGUUAUUAGGGAAGAACAUAUGUGUAAGUAACUGUGCACAUCUUGACGGUACCUAAUCAGAAAGCCACGGCUAACUACGUG